AUUGAACGCUGGCGGCAUGCCUUACACAUGCAAGUCGAACGGCAGCACGGGUGCUUGCACCUGGUGGCGAGUGGCGAACGGGUGAGUAAUACAUCGGAACAUGUCCUGUAGUGGGGGAUAGCCCGGCGAAAGCCGGAUUAAUACCGCAUACGAUCCACGGAUGAAAGCGGGGGACCUUCGGGCCUCGCGCUAUAGGGUUGGCCGAUGGCUGAUUAGCUAGUUGGUGGGGUAAAGGCCUACCAAGGAGACGAUCAGUAGCUGGUCUGAGAGGACGACCAGCCACACUGGGACUGAGACACGGCCCAGACUCCUACGGGAGGCAGCAGUGGGGAAUUUUGGACAAUGGGCGAAAGCCUGAUCCAGCAAUGCCGCGUGUGUGAAGAAGGCCUUCGGGUUGUAAAGCACUUUUGUCCGGAAAGAAAUCCUUGACUCUAAUACAGUCGGGGGAUGACGGUACCGGAAGAAUAAGCACCGGCUAACUACGUG
This 486-nucleotide ribosomal RNA is filed under the name uncultured bacterium. RNAcentral's name for it is "partial 16S ribosomal RNA". It matches the Rfam family "Bacterial small subunit ribosomal RNA", at positions 30 to 507 of the family's 1533-position model. The record is from RNAcentral.